Molecule: long non-coding RNA, 484 nt
Organism: Quercus robur (English oak)
Lineage: Eukaryota; Viridiplantae; Streptophyta; Magnoliopsida; Fagales; Fagaceae
Exons: 4
Source: RefSeq, a predicted model, not a curated record
AUUGAAUAAGCUACAUUGUUUUCUCAUGUCAUGCUCCAUUUUCUGGCAGCUCUUCCUAUCUCUUGGAAUCCCUUCCUCUUGCAAAUAGAUUAAGUGGAUCUGCCCAAUUGCCCCUACACGUCCAGACGUCUACUGACCCUACUUGGGGGAUUUCCUUGCACUGCAUGUGCAAACAGUAAACAAGCGGUGUGAAAAUUUCAUCCAUACUGGUCAUCAAAAACCGACAUUCACUAGCAGGUAAAAUUCCGUAAAUAUUGUAUCGCAAUGGACAAAAGUUGGAUGGAGAAGCGGAGGGGUACAAGGGAAUAUUUUGAAGGUGUAAACCAAUUCGUGGAAUUUGCUGCUCCAUCCGCGCGCAAUGGGAACAUCUUAUGUCCUUGUGUGAAAUGUGUGAAUUUGCUUAUACAACCGCUAAAUGUGGUACGUGAGCACUGUUGGGCUUCGGGGAUGCUUAAAAAUUACAAAGUUUGGAAAUUUCAUGGUG